This 478-nucleotide long non-coding RNA is filed under the name Callithrix jacchus (white-tufted-ear marmoset). Its description in RNAcentral is "lncRNA (ENSCJAG00000086355.1)". The record is from RNAcentral. Lineage: Eukaryota; Metazoa; Chordata; Mammalia; Primates; Cebidae.
UUUAGUAGAACCUGGGUUUUACCAUGUUGGUCAGGCUGGUCUUGAACUCCUGACCUCAAGUGAUCCACAUGCCUCAGCCUCCCAAAGUGCUGGGAUUGCAAUGAGCCAUCACCCCUGACCUACGCAUUUAUUAAGAAGGAAAAAAUGUAUAUUCUCAUAAUGCCUUGAAUUCUUUAGUUACUUGGGAAUUACUUGAAAAUGUAUUAGGUAUAACUGUUUCAAAAGAUAUGAUUUUUCAUAUACCUUAGAAAACAAUAGAUAUUUCUUCAGCUGUCUAAUUGUGGGUGUGCAUUUAAAAUGUGUAUUGUGAUUCCAAAAUUUUCUCUACCUAGGAGGGAAAUACAACACAUGGGAUUAUUAUUGCUGAUGACACCAGAUAAUAUUUUGCCUAAACUCCUAAGUUGAAUGAGAGAGAGAUCCAAGAUGGCUGAUCACUAACAGCUCAGGAUUGUAGCUCCCAGUGAAAGCUCAGAGAACG